UCGGCGCACUGCCCCCCCCCCCCCUCCCCGGCGGCCUGCAGGCGGUGGGGAUGGGGGCGGCGUUCCGGGACGGGUAUCGGCCAGAGGCGCCCCGGGAGGACCCUCGGAGGCCAGCUCUGGCCCUGCUGUCUCCGGAGACCCGUGCUCCCCAGGUUUGGAUGGCUAAGGAGCGGCCCUCCCGGGAGUCCCUCACCGCCUUCCCUGGGGCAGCCCGGGGCCCAGCCUCCCCGCUGGAAGGGCGGUGGCCCCCUGCCCUGACAGUGGCCCUAUCUGUCACAUCUCUGUUAAAAGCGCCCAGAGCACCCCACUCAGCUCUUUGUGACCUAGCCCAGCUGAGACUAAAGAGAGGUGCUUUCCAGUGGCUUUUUGAUGAUGGUGGCACGUUGGGAGCCUGCCACAGCCCUUUUAGAUCUCCGGGACACCGAGUUUUAUGAGUUUUAAUCUGCUGACUUUGGGCCUUAUUACCUCUGUGAAGUUCAGGGAUUUUAAGGAGGAAAAACCUGUCCAGGGCCCCACAGACGCCAGCCCUAAAGCUUGCCUUUGACGCAGCAGAGUCACCUGGGUACCUCCCAGGGGACAUCGGGGAAGAGGAGAGAAAACUAACAAGUUUUGUGCUUGAGUUGCAAAAAGUCAGAAGUCCCAGAGAAGGAGUGCCCAGAGUCUGUCUGCUGUGUGGAGCAGUGUCUGUGGCAGGAGGUUGGGAGGGCCCCUUGGGCAGUUGAAGGCAACCUUCAGACAGGACUGUAGUGGAAUUGUAUUAAGUGGACUCCUCCUCUGCCAGCAGUGAAGGCGUGGCUCAGACAGAUGAACACAGACCUUGUUGGGGUUUCUGUGUCCCAGGCCUUCUGAGUGUCCCAGUGCUCGAGGGGACAGCAGGCCUGUGUCAGUAUCCUUGUCUUGCAACUACAGAGUUUUUUAGGAUUGUGCCUCUUAGGAAUCUUUUGUUUUCCCCCCUGAACCCAAAUGGUCUCUGGAGCUAAUAAAAAAUAACGCUGUUUCCUCUGUACCAGAUA
Molecule: long non-coding RNA, 1013 nt
Organism: Neofelis nebulosa (Clouded leopard)
Lineage: Eukaryota; Metazoa; Chordata; Mammalia; Carnivora; Felidae
Exons: 2
Source: RefSeq, a predicted model, not a curated record